CAUAUUUACAGGUAAACUCUGAUUGAGUCAGAGAUUCCGAAUAGCAGAAAAUGCAAUGCCUUAUAUACUAUUGGUUUGAACUGAAAAUUGAGAUUUAUAUAAUGAAGAUGCUCAUUCAUAUCAGAAUUGUGCUUCAGGAUGAUCAGAUGAAACAGAAACUUUCAGUUGUGCCUCAUUAUUUAGAAGACACUGAUAGAAAAAUGAAGAGAAGUAAAUGAUGGGCCUAAAAGAGCAUUAUAGAACAGACUUGGAAACUGACUUUAAAGUAUGUUGGCAAAUGUGGAUGAACAUCUGGGAUGAAUUUAACAUGCAUUUUAUGGAGAAAGGAAACCAAGCCUUUUCAUCAUGUGAAAGAGAAUUGCAUCAUAAACCUGCUGUGUGCAAUUAAUAUGUGAUACUGUACUUGCCUUUUUCUGGAUACCUUUUUAUGUUUCAUGAUUAACUUUGGCUAACAGCAGAAAUGGGAGAGAAGUGUCCAGAGAGGGAUGCUACUAAAAAGGCUUUAUGUGACAAACCAUACUGUCAGACAUUAACAGAAAAUACACCACUGCAGAAUGAUGGCAACACGCAGAGACAAAGCACCAAUGACCGUAACAGGUAACAUUAUACAUGUAAUCUCCUUUAAGUUCUUUUUUUACAGGUUAUUGUUCUGCAAAGUACAUUCUGUAUUGUUAUUUGGGUAAAUUAAUGGUUUUUAGAGUUAGAAAAUUUUCCUCAGUAAACUCAGUGCCCCCUUUCUACAUUUCAUGAAAUUACUUUUAUUUUAGCUUUAGCUUUCAUUCUAUGUCCUUUUCAUUUGAACUAUUAGUAAACCGAAAUCUUGCUUCAUUCUCAUCACUGGUUGUCACUAACGAUGUUUCCAGACCUGUCAAAGAUUGUCUGUACUUUUAAAUUACACCACCGCAUCUAAAAUAACCACCAAGUAGCCAACCGCCUGAAACACACAUCCCAUUUUAUUCAAAAAACAUUUCCUCCAAGUUGGGAAUUGUGAUACAGUCUUUACUUGCUCACUUAAAACAUGAAGAUAUUACCAUGUUUCCAGUCAUUCUCAAAUUAUACUCUGAAAGAAAAUGCCCCUGUGCAGUGUUUCAAAGGUUGUAUAACCAUAAAAUUCACCUUUUUGAAAACACCAAUUCUAGCCUUGAACUAGACUAGUUGGGAUCAGAAUCUCCAAGGGGAGUGGCCUGG
RNAcentral lists this long non-coding RNA (1188 nucleotides) under Cercocebus atys (sooty mangabey). RNAcentral's name for it is "lncRNA (ENSCATG00000045663.1)". Lineage: Eukaryota; Metazoa; Chordata; Mammalia; Primates; Cercopithecidae. The record is from RNAcentral.